Molecule: ribosomal RNA, 442 nt
Filed under: uncultured bacterium
Lineage: Bacteria
Description: partial 16S ribosomal RNA
Rfam family: Bacterial small subunit ribosomal RNA
Source: RNAcentral
CCUACGGGUGGCAGCAGUGGGGAAUAUUGGGCAAUGGACGCAAGUCUGACCCAGCAACGCCGCGUGAAGGAAGAAGGCUUUCGGGUUGUAAACUUCUUUUAAGAGGGAAGAGCAGAAGACGGUACCUCUUGAAUAAGCUACGGCUAACUACGUGCCAGCAGCCACGGCAAUACGUAGGUGGCAAGCGUUGUCCGGAUUUACUGGGUGUAAAGGGCGUGCAGCCGGGAAGACAAGUCAGAUGUGAAAGCCCGCGGCUCAACCGCGGAACUGCAUUUGAAACUGUUUUUCGUGAGUACCGGAGAGGUCAUCGGAAUUCCUUGUGUAGCGGUGAAAUGCGUAGAUAUAAGGAAGAACACCAGUGGCGAAGGCGGAUGACUGGACGGCAACUGACGGUGAGGCGCGAAAGCGUGGGGAGCAAACAGGAUUAGAUACCCUUGUAGUC